UCCUGAAUAAAAUUAACUUGACUAACCUGAACUGUGUUCUUGACUGACUUGUGAGCAGUGGAGGGACCUUAAUGUUAUGCAGUUUUGGUGUGCAAUACUUAAACAACUUUUGAGGUAUUUGCAAACAAUGUAUUUAUAGGGGGUGCACUUUUGGUUACAUUACAUUGAAACAUUGAAGCAACACAGUACCAGUUGUGGAAAAAUGAGGUGGAAUACCACUUACUUGGCUAAAUUAUUUAUACUUAUUGAAUAUGUUUCAAAACAUGCAAGUUUAAAAUCCUAAUUGCGGAUAUAUUGUGUGAGUGUAAACGGGGCAAAAAAUGAGUACUAUGUUACGUAUAGGCAACACAAAACCGCAGAGGGUUAAGUGCACAGACGUUGUGGUCACAAGUUGAUCCAACCACCUUUGUAUGUGACUCAGCUGACUGUGUACCCCAUUACAGUACAAUACGUCAGUGCUGAACUUUGGAAAGAGGUGGUCUUAGUGUAGUGGUUAACGUGUUGGUCUCUUGUAUCUUUUUCCCUUCGCGGAGUGAGUUCGAAUCUCCGCCAAGACGUGUUUUAAUAUGUUGAGCUUGACAAACAGGCUGAAUGUAACGCAUGUAGAUUCAAUCACACUCCAAAGGAGUGGAAAUGCUACUUGCUUUCUUCCUGUUGUCAGCAAAUCACAUCCUUACAACACGCGAGUGGGUAACGUUAAUCGUACAUCACUCUAUAUACCGCUUUGCAGGAGUUAAUGGACUUUCAUACCACAUAGCCUACAGCCUAGUGUUUGUCAUAUUUGUACGCUUUUGAUCGCCUUAAUGCUACAACAUAAAUAGAUAAUUUAUCUUAGAGAUAAAUCUAUUAUACAGCUGCUGCUUUAUUGCUUAAUUUAAAAUAAAGUAUUUCCACGUGAGUAUAUGAAUAUUGGCUUUAUCGACCUGUAGCACAACAAUAGACGUUAGGUUUAUGAAUUAAGUGGGUUUAAACCACUGGUUUUUGUAUUGGAAAGCAGUGAGAUUGUAAAAUGUUCCUCGGUGCAUGGACAGUGUGGUCACAAGUUGAGCUGGCUGCCUCCCAAUUUGAAGACAUAGCUGGCUGUAUGUUGUCGGAUUUUUAUUGUAUCUGUCUAUGAAGUGACGUUGUUAUAGUGGCGCACCUCGUUUAUUGUGCGCUUGUAAUUUGUUUCUUCAUAAUGAAGUAGGUUCGAAUCCCGUGAAAAUAUUCUUUUUUACGUUUCACAGGGCUGAACGGUUCUUUAAUAUGGCACAUGUUUCUUUAAGCAGGCACCAGAGACGAAACUGUUUAGGCCUAUUUAGAAAAUUUAUUCGAGAUGGGAGUUAGAUUCCUACAGGAAAUGCAACUUGGCCUCUUCCUGUUUUCAACAUUCCGUCAUAACAAGUGUGAUUCAAACUGCGACUGGGUGUCGGUCCGUGACUGGGUUCCUCAAACAAAACUCCACAGUCGACUCAGGUAUGUUCUGUUUUGACACUGUAAUGAAACAUUGAAGACAGAGGCAUUCGCGAGGACAGCUACGUGUUCUCUUCCUGGUUGAACACAGCUGUUGUCACUACGACAACCACAGACGCAUUCGGCUGAAGGUCGCCAGUUAACAGGGUCGCGAGUAAAUUCGAAACACCGGCUUCCCUGUAAUGCUGCGACGUCCAGGUAAGAAAGCAUUAGCCUUGGCAAAACGCUUGGUUUACAAUCAGUCCCCCAGAACUGUGGAGAAAGAUGUAAUCAGAUGCUAUACCUAAUAACCACACUAGGGGGGGGGCGAGGACUGUCCCCUGUGGAGCCCCAGUGCUGCAGACUACCACAUCAGACACACAGUCACGCAGCCAGGUGGUGGUCGACUCCAGCUCCUUCCAGCUUCCCCCUGAGCAGAGAUGGCUGUAUUGUAUUGAAAGCGCUGGACAAGUAAAAAAACAACAACAUGACUCUCACAGUACUUCCAGUGUUCUCCAGGUGAGACAGUGUUCUGGAUGAUUGCAUCAUCCACCCCAGUGCCUGUCUGAUAUGCAAACUGCAGGGGGUCCAGGUCCCGUUCAACAACAUAUUUGCAACUGCUGAGAUUUGUUUUGUGCAUUUUACUCACUUCUGAACUGUUUAAAGUGACUUCUGGAGACUCAUUCAGCCACCGCUCGAUUGUUUACACCCGUGAUCAGCUGUUGGCGCUGUGUCACAGUCGUGUACACCCCAGCGAGAGACCGGAGAUUCCCAAGGACUUAAGGAGAAAGAGGCGGGGGUGCAGAGCUGGAGUACAGCGUCGGGAGUGGAAACGACGGUACAAACCAUCUAUACCGUUCGUUAUUAUGGGGAACGUGAGAUCAGGCCCUCUUAAGGUGGACUGACCUUUAAGGCAAGAGGAGACAGGACCAGGAGGAUUUGGUGACUGUCCUGAGGGAAAUGCAUGCGUCUCACAAGAGGCAGAUGGAGAGACUCCUGGAGCUGCAACAGCAUCAGGACCAGCACCUCCGCAUGAUGCUGGAGGACUCCAGGGAUGCAAGGCGCCAGGAAGUAGAGCUGGCAAGGGAACAGCAUCAGGAGACUUAAGCUUUUAACCAAGCGUUCCUUAGUACACUGGACCAGCUCGUACAAGCGAUGAGCGGCCGGCGCGACUCAGGACCCUCAACUAGCUGAUAACGUAUGUGGACCGUAUUGGACAUUGCUGCUACAGCUGACAACAGCGUAUUGGUUGUUGUUUAAUGCACCUUUUGUAUAGUUUCCAGCUUUGCACCGAUUUGUAUUUGCUUGCUCUCAAUACUUCACUUUGUACUUGCACAUUUUUUUGAUAUAAAGUUAGUUUUGUUAAACCAC
This is a long non-coding RNA of Epinephelus moara (kelp grouper), 2802 nucleotides long. RefSeq lists it as uncharacterized. The transcript is spliced from 2 exons. The record is from RefSeq and is a predicted model, not a curated record. Lineage: Eukaryota; Metazoa; Chordata; Actinopteri; Perciformes; Serranidae.